This is an RNA transcript of Ornithodoros turicata, 2155 nucleotides long. RefSeq lists it as uncharacterized. The record is from RefSeq and is a predicted model, not a curated record. The transcript is spliced from 11 exons. NCBI's taxonomy places the organism in Eukaryota, Metazoa, Arthropoda, Arachnida, Ixodida, Argasidae.
GCACGUGCGGGUAUGGAACAUUGCAUGUGCUGAUUGAACAGUACACUACACAUGCUGGGUCGGUGCUGGACAAAGCAAGUUAUUCUAAAAUGAAGCUAGUUAUCCUUGCUCUUGUAUCACUCUGUUUCUCAGAUUUCACUGCAGCAGAGUGCGCAAAAGAUAUGCUGGAGUCGUUAUCUGAAGCCAAGGCUGAGUGCGAUUCAAGAUAUAGACAGGAACACGGUCUCGGUACUAGAAAACCCUCAGAUUUGUUUCACAUCACAAGAUGCUGUAUGCUGAUUUACGGCAUGGCUUGCAUUCCCUUACGGCUCUCAGAAAAAGGAUGCGAUCAGCGGAAUAUUGCGCGUUUAAAAAAGAUGUGGGGCAAGCUAAUAGAGGCUGCAUGUGAACCAUCAAACUGGAACUGCCUUCUUGAAGCAAAGUGCGACGCCCCAACAAUAUCCGACGCGAACACUGAUUGCUACAAAACAUAUAACCAGGAACACGGCGUCGAUACUCGAAAGCCUAGUGACCCACUUGAACCAAGUGGGGAUGUGGAACUACUCUGCUGUAUGUUAAAAUACAACAAGUAUUGCGUUCCGAAACUCCUAGAAGAAAAAGGGUGCCACCCCGACACUGUUCUACAUUCUGGUACGGCGAUAGAGACUAGAAUGAAAACAACCUGUCCAUCGUCCAAACCGAAGUGCGUCCCUCCACCACAGUGCAAUGAUAAAACCUUAUCAGACGCCAGGCUCAUUUGCGAGCAAAGAUAUAAAGAAGCACACGAACCAACAGGCCCGAAACGUCGUGCAGACCCACAACCUAGAGAUCUGAGCCGGGAAGAGAUGCACAAAGAACAUUGCUGUGUAAUGGAAUACAGCAGGGAUUGCGUUCUGGGAUAUCUAAAAGAACACGGAUGCAGUGAUCCAGAUUUUCUUGAGAUUUUUCUCGAGAAUAUACGGACCGAAUGUGGAGCAUCCAAGUGGAACUGUACAGAGUGCAAAAGAGAAGAUAUGGUUGAGAGAUUUUCUGAGGCCGACGCUGAGUGCGAUGCGAGGUACAGACAAGAACAUGGUCUCACUACCGGAAAACCCACAGAUUUGGUUCCCGAUACGACCAGAUGUUGUAUGUUGCUUUACGGCAAGGACUGUGUUCCCCUUCGACUCGUAGAAAAAGGAUGCGAUGCUUGGAUUCUCGCAAGUUCCGAAGAAAUGUGGAGCAAGCGAAUAUUGGCUGCAUGUGACCCAUCGACCUCGAAGUAUUGACCAAAGGAGCAUUAGUGGAAAAAAACAGGGUAGCCCUGAGACAAUAGGAUGACGUCACGACCAAUGAGAACGGCCUGCAGGGGGCGCAAGGAUUCACUUCUCUCUUGGACACUGACGGGUCUCGACACGCAAAUUCUGCUCCUGGCGUUGGCCGUCAGUGGAAGAGCGUAGCUUCGGUGGGGUUCUGUCUGCCUCUGAUGGGGUGGAGAUGUGUGGUUCGUCACUGGUGAAUGGUGUUCGACGAUGCAGGUGGAUUUUGUGACGAGCGGAUUUACAAUGAGGGAAUGCUGUGAACGAGAAAAAUGAUGAGCUGUCCUAACCUGCCCAGACAUGUCAUGAUGACGUCACAGCUGACGUCACAGGAUGUCCGGAACUGGUGCUGCGAUGCUUUGCAAGCUGGUUCUGUGCUCCGUCGCCCAGCGGCCUUUCCGGGCCGCUUUCUACAAGAUGACGUCGCUGAUCUUCAACGAUACUCCUUCUCUCCACUCUAUCUCUAUCUAUUUUUUUUAUUUUUAUCAGCUCAAGUAGCCGGAAACUCACAUCUUCGUCUGGACGUGUCUUAGAUGAUCCCCAAUUAGUGUAAUGACUCCCUGGUGGGUCCUGAUUAAUGUGGGGGGUCCCAAUUAGCUCUAAUUGCUAAUUAAUGGCGUCCAGGCGAAGAUGUGAGUUUCCGGAUACUUGAGCUGAUACAUUACUACUGAUAUAUCUAUGUGGGACAAGUCAAGCUACUAACAGGGGAUAUACCCUAGACAAGUUAUAAAAGGGGGACUCUGAAUUGCUUUAUGAGUACCCAAAUAUGUCGUCUUAUUCGUUUUCAGGCUUGCAGUGCAAUCAAAAAACUAUAUCCGAUGCCGAAUAUGUGUGCUUCAGGAAGUACGAGCAGGAACAUGGCAUUAUUUCUAGAGGCCUGA